Molecule: non-coding RNA, 22 nt
Filed under: Arabidopsis thaliana (thale cress)
Lineage: Eukaryota; Viridiplantae; Streptophyta; Magnoliopsida; Brassicales; Brassicaceae
Source: RNAcentral
GGACGUGGGGUGCAGACGUUGA